CUACGGGGGGCUCCAGUGAGGAAUAUUGCACAAUGGGGGGAACCCUGAUGCAGCAACGCCGCGUGGAGGAUGACGCAUUUCGGUGUGUAAACUCCUUUUAUAUGUCAAGAAAAUGACGGUAGCAUAUGAAUAAGCACCGGCUAACUCCGUGCCAGCAGCCGCGGUAAUACGGAGGGUGCGAGCGUUACUCGGAAUCACUGGGCGUAAAGGACGCGUAGGCGGGUUGGAAAGUCAGGUGUGAAAUCCUACAGCUUAACUGUAGAACUGCACGUGAAACUUCUAAUCUAGAGUAUGGGAGGGGGAGAUGGAAUUAGUGGUGUAGGGGUAAAAUCCGUAGAUAUCACUAGGAAUACCUAAAGCGAAGGCGAUCUCCUGGAACAUUACUGACGCUAAGGCGUGAAAGCGUGGGGAGCAAACAGGAUUAGAUACCCUCGUUAGUC
This 440-nucleotide ribosomal RNA is filed under the name uncultured bacterium. Its description in RNAcentral is "partial 16S ribosomal RNA". It matches the Rfam family "Bacterial small subunit ribosomal RNA", at positions 339 to 795 of the family's 1533-position model. The record is from RNAcentral.